GUCACCAUAGCUCAGCUGGUUAGAGCGCAGGACUCAUAAGCCUGAGGUCGGUGGUUCAAAUCCACCUGGUGACACCA
RNAcentral lists this transfer RNA (77 nucleotides) under Candidatus Peregrinibacteria bacterium CG_4_10_14_0_2_um_filter_43_11. RNAcentral's name for it is "tRNA-Met". It matches the Rfam family "tRNA". From Rfam's summary of the family: Transfer RNA (tRNA) molecules are approximately 80 nucleotides in length. Their secondary structure includes four short double-helical elements and three loops (D, anti-codon, and T loops). Lineage: Bacteria; Candidatus Peregrinibacteriota. The record is from RNAcentral.